GCGGUUGUGGUUUUGGACUUGGCACUGGUGGUGGAGGAGAGUGGACCGGAGGCGCCUGUGGUUUUGGACUUGGCACUGGAGGUGGAAGUGAUGUCACUGGUGGUGGUGGAGAGUUGACCGGAUGUGGCUUUGGUUUUGGACUUGGCACUGGAGGUGGAGGUGAUGCCACUGGUGGUGGUGGAGAGUUGACUGGAGGUGGCUUUGGUUUUGGACUUGGCACCUCUGGAGGUGGAGGUGAUGUCACUGGUGGUGGUGGAGAGUUGACUGGAGGUGGCUUUGGUUUUGGACUUGGCACCUCUGGAGGUGGAGGUGAUGCCAUUGGUGGUGGUGGAGAGUUGACUGGAGGUGGCUUUAGUUUUGGACUUGGGACUGGUGGUGGAGGUGAUGCCACUGGUGGUGGUGGAGACUGAACCGUAGACGGCUGUGGUUUUGGACUUGGCGCUGGUGGUAGAGGUGAUGCCGCUGGUGGUGGUGGAGAGUGAACCGGAGGUGGCUUUGGUUUUGGACUUGGCACUGGAGGUGGAGAUGAUGCCACAGGUGGUGGUGGAGAGUGAACCGGAGGUGGAUUUGGUUUUGGACUUGGUACUGGUGGGGGCGGUGAUGCCACGGGUGGUGGUGGAGAGUGAACCGGUACUGGUGGGGGCGGUGAUGCCACGGGUGGUAGUGGAGAGUGAACCGGAGGUGGUUUUGGUUUUGGACUUGGCACUGGCGGAGGCGGUGAUGCCACGGGUGGUGGUAAAGGUGAAAUCUUGGGUGGAUUAGACUUAGGUGGUUUUGGGGUUGAAGGAGUUCUU
This 794-nucleotide long non-coding RNA is filed under the name Nicotiana tabacum (common tobacco). RNAcentral describes it as "long non-coding RNA (NTAB_LNC007377)". The record is from RNAcentral. Lineage: Eukaryota; Viridiplantae; Streptophyta; Magnoliopsida; Solanales; Solanaceae.